GAUGAACGCUGGCGGCGUGCCUAAUACAUGCAAGUCGAGCGAACAGAUGAGGAGCUUGCUCCUCUGACGUUAGCGGCGGACGGGUGAGUAACACGUGGAUAACCUACCUAUAAGACUGGGAUAACUUCGGGAAACCGGAGCUAAUACCGGAUAAUAUAUUGAACCGCAUGGUUCAAUAGUGAAAGACGGUUCUGCUGUCACUUAUAGAUGGAUCCGCGCCGCAUUAGCUAGUUGGUAAGGUAACGGCUUACCAAGGCAACGAUGCGUAGCCGACCUGAGAGGGUGAUCGGCCACACUGGAACUGAGACACGGUCCAGACUCCUACGGGAGGCAGCAGUAGGGAAUCUUCCGCAAUGGGCGAAAGCCUGACGGAGCAACGCCGCGUGAGUGAUAAAGGUCUUCGGAUCGUAAAACUCUGUUAUUAGGGAAGAACAAAUGUGUAAGUAACUAUGCACGUCUUGACGGUACCUAAUCAGAAAGCCACGGCUAACUACGUG
Molecule: ribosomal RNA, 497 nt
Filed under: uncultured bacterium
Lineage: Bacteria
Description: partial 16S ribosomal RNA
Rfam family: Bacterial small subunit ribosomal RNA
Source: RNAcentral